RNAcentral lists this long non-coding RNA (5503 nucleotides) under Sus scrofa (pig). Its description in RNAcentral is "lncRNA (ENSSSCG00050019370.1)". Lineage: Eukaryota; Metazoa; Chordata; Mammalia; Artiodactyla; Suidae. The record is from RNAcentral.
GGGCCACACUAGUGGCAUGUGAAGGUUCCCAGGCUAGGGGUCUAAUCGGAGCUACAGCUGCUGGACUGCACCACAGCCACAGCAACGCAGGAUCCGAGCCACGUCUGCAACCUAUGCCACAGCUCACGGCAAUGCCGGAUCCUUAACCCACUGAGCAAGGCCAGGGAUCAAACCUGCAACCUCAGGUUUCUAGUCAGAUUCGUUUCUGCUGUGCCACAAUGGGAACUCGCACUCUCACCUUUCCUAUCAAGUUCCACAGACUGUAGUUACAGCAAGGAUUCCUGUCUGUGUGGAUUAACUUGCAUGUCAGAAUCUACAUCUACUGCAUCUGAUUUCCUCUAGAAGGGAGCCAGGGGAAGUGGAGUUUUCUGAAGGGAGAGAAUGCAGAUGUGAAGUGAGCAGCAGAGUAUAGCGGACUCAGUCUGAAGGGGCUGGAUCAAACAGCACCUCCAUCCAAGGAGCCACUGUAGCUCCAGAACCUCCCGUCUCCUAAAGGUCAAGCCAUGUGUGUGUGUGUGUGUGUGUGUGUGUGUGUGUGUGUGUGUGUGUGUGAGAGAGAGAGAGAGAGAGAGACACUUUGGACUCACCUAAGAAAGCAUUCUGAUUGAAAACAGAAAACCAAGAGCUUCAAAAUACAAUCUGUUUGCAUAAGAAACUUCAAGAGGAAGAUGUGCCGAAGGGAGAGAAGGCUUUCCGCAGAUUUCAGAAAACCUUCUAACAAGAAAGUGUCCGUUUUUGACUCUCCAAGGAGCAACCAGAGUAACAGUGUCUCCAGCUGUUCCUGCCUCUGUCUCGGGGGCUGCUGGGAAUGGAAUGAAGCUCCCUCCACCAAAUCCAGCCCGGGUUUUCAUUUUUUCCCCCUGCCCAUCUUCACCCAAGGCUAACCUGGCAGAGCCAAGGCUCACUUCCCUCCUACUCACUGUGGGAAAAAAAAAAACCACUCAGGCACUUUGAAAAGGUCAAAGGGGAAAGGGCAGCCGUGGGACUGAGAAGCGGGAAAGAGAAGGGAGCUUGGCAAGAAAACUAGGUCCUUAAUAAUGUGGAUGGGGUUUUGCUCUACCCUUCCAAAAUGCCCACGUCUGGAGACAGCCUGCUCUGCUGUAAAUCUGCUACUUCAAACACCGAGAAACAGGAUUGCUCUUAAUCCCUUAAACCUAAUUAUCAAAGAGACGUUUACUCACCAGCAGCCGCUCCCUUCUGCUUUCUGGUGACCGCUCAUCAUCUGUGUUCCACCACGAAGCUCAUGGUGGUGCCGUCAAAGGAGGGGGGGGCAAUGAUCCUCGGCCCCAGGGGCUGCGAAGUGAUGCUGAUGACAGGCUUACCGUGCAGCUGAGCGAAGCCCUUGGCCCCCACCAGCUGGGAUGUGGCUGCUGGAGCAGAGGAGGAAGAGGAGGCGGGAGACUGACCAGAGGCCAUGAAGUAGGGGGCCUCAGGAAACGGGGCAGCUGCCUCUUUGCUGGGGGGCUCUGCUGCCAUGGGCGAGAGCUCACCGCCCCCCGGAGUGUGAGCAAUUGGUGUGGGCUGCAGGGCGUUGGCGGGCAGCACCGUGGGGAGAAACCCGGGGUAGAUCAUGUAGGUGGGUCCGUAGGCCCCCGGACUCAGGGCCAGGGGAGGCACAGGGAGGGACAUGGGAGCCAAAGCCUGCUGCUGGGAGGUCAUGGGCACAUCCACAUACUGCCCUGUCUCGGGGUCAAACAGUCUCCGGGUAAUGGGCUGCACUGGUGUGUCCACCAGAUAGUACUGGCCAGUCGUCACGUCCAGGAGCAUCUUGCGCUGGGUCUGCUGAGGCUGUGGCUGCUGGAAGGGGUCCGUGGGAACCGCAGCUGGGCCUGCCGGGGCUGGGGCAGGCAUGCCUGGCGGGGAGAAGCAGAGGACCUGGGGCUGGGCCCCCUGCAGGGUGAAGGGCAGUGGCUGCUGGUGGUAGAUGGCUGUGGGGGGGUGCUCGGGGCUCUGUGGCCCCGUGGGGGCAGCUACCGUCUCCCGGGGAUUAUCAGGUUUGGUGCGCCAAGCCGGCCGGCUGGUUCCACUGACCUGAGAGCCUUUGGGGCUACUGGGGACCUGGCUGCGGGCACUCAGGGGGGGCAAGCUGCAGAGAGUGGCCGCCGAGGAGGCUGGGGGCCCCUCCCUGCCAGCCCCAGGCCUGCCCGCGAGCUCCCCAGCUGCAGAGCUUCCCUUAAGAGGGAUGGUCAGGUAGUUCUCACUGUCACUGUUCCUCUUUUCCAAAGUGCUGCCGUUUUUCCUGUGGGUCACCUCUUCGAGAGGUGCCCUGGUGGCCGGAGAGAUCUUGAGGGACCGCAGUCCCUGCGAUUUGAUGCCCUUUGCCGCUGAGGGACUUUCUGGAGAAGGGCCUUGCGGGAACUUGCCAGCGACACCCCCGGUCUUCUGGGUGCUGCUGGCGCUCACUGUGAACACGUUCCGGGUGCUGGGGAGCGGGGGCAGGGGCUGCAGGGGCUGCAGGGGCUGGGCUCUGUCCGCAUCCUUGUGCACGGGCGGGAUGUAGAGGGACCGGGGCCUCUCCCUGGCCAGGUUCUCAAAGGCGGCCGCGCGGGCGGACACGCUCUCGGUGCUCGGGUUGGAGUUUCUCCGCUGCAGACGCUCCGCGGGGCCGCCUCGCAGGACCACCCCGCCUUUGUUUCCCGCGCCCCGCUCUUCCGCCUCGCCCAGCCGUUUGGCCACCUUGUCGGGGUCCCGCUCAGCCCCCGCGGCCCCUUCCCUCUCCUCACUGGCGAUGAGCGACAGGACGUGGCUGUCGGUCAUCAGGGGCAAGGGAUCGCUUUUCCGCUUCCACUCGUUCCUGUUGAAGCUGUACAGCUCCUCCAUGGACCUCACCGCGGCGGUCAGCUUCUCCAGGGCAUUGCGGGAUGGCCGGGGGCCUUUCCCUUCCUCCUUGGCCUCCUCCUCUUUGACCUUCUCUGGGGUCUUCUGAGCCUUGGAGACGAUCUUGAGCACAGGGAGGUAGGAGCCCUGCUCAGGCUUAUUGGGGGCAAUGGUGGCCACAGGCAGCCUGCCAGAGGCCCUAUGAACCAAGACUGUGCCUUCUGGCGAGGAGGAAUUCAAGACCCGGCAGCCGCCCACCUUGCCCACGUUCUCCCGGGGUUCUCGGUCCAUGCUGUCUUCCCUCUGGUUCACCACUGCCUGGCACGUAAUCACCAUGGGGGACAGGGAUCCAGAUCCUCCAGCUGCAGGAGCCAGCUGCCGAGGUUUGGGCCCGGUCAGCCCCUGCUCUGGGGUAACGCUGCCCUUAUCGCUGCUGUCCCCUGACCCUUUGAUGAGUUUCCGGACAUCUCUCACCUGGUGGAGGGGGCCUUGUGCCUUGGACUUGUCCCUGACAUCUCUCACUUGGAACUGGGGCACUUUUUCCAGGUUGUCCCCCCGGAAGAGCUUCUGCUGUGCCCUGGUGUUGUCCUCAAUGGUCUUGAAGAGGUUAGAGGCGCUGCCACUGGCCAGUUUGGGCGUGAGCAACUUGGCAAUGUUGAAGUCCGAGCUUGGCUGUUGCACACUCCCCAGCCGGAUCUUGAUUUCGGGAGCCUUGGGCCUGAUCACCGCCGUGGAGGUGGCCUGGGCAGCAGGGUAUUUGGUGGCCUGCUUCCCCGGCUGCUUGUCCUUGGGUGUCUGCUGGAUGUUAGGGACAAAGAGGCGGGACAUGAUGGUGGAUUUGCUGGCAGAGAUCUCCCCGAGAUCGGCCCUCCAGUCGCCCCCUUUGGGAAGUUUCAGCUUCCCAACGGGGGCUUUUUCUUCUCGCUUCUCAGCCUCUUUCUCCUUCCAUGACCGGAAUGCACUGUUCUGACUACGAAGGAAGAUGCCCUUGACAGUCUCUGAUGCACUCUUUUUAAUCUCACAUACUUCUUCUGGCUGUCCGUCGGCGAAAUUACGGCUGGAGCCGGCAUGGCUCUCUCGGGGGGCACUGGCUUUGAAAAUUGGGGAUUUAGACCCGACCAUGGACCCCUCCCCACCUGCAUCAGACACGCUGACCACCGUGUACUCAGAGCCAGCCUCCGAGUGGCGAGAACUCUGCCUCUGCAGGCCCCUGUCUCGCGGCUUCUCGCCCCCAAGAGGUGGGCCCUCUGCCUCCUUGGCCGUGCUGGACAGGUUGUGGUGGGAUGUGUCGGUGACCUCCCCCCUCUCCAUUUUGAACUCGUGUUCUCGCUGCAUCUUCUUGGAGAUGACAUUUUUGAGCAGACUGGAAGCAAACUUGGACUUCUUCUGGGGGCCAUCAGCGCGAGAGGCAGGCUUGCUGCUCUCUGAGGCCUCGGAGCCAUCAUCCGUGUACACCGACCCGGGGCCCUUGCUGGGGCCUUUGGUGGCCUUGCAGGGCCCGGUGGCUGAGCUGGCUUUGCUUUCACUGCGUAAGUUCAGAGGCUCGAGAAGGGUGACCACGCGGGAGCCCGACUGGACCUGCUUCUGGAAACACAGAGGUGUCUCCACGUGUUUGAUUUCCCCCUCGACUUUGCUGACUACGAACUCCAAGGCCUUGGUCUGCGACUUCUUGGACUGGAUGUAGAGCUGGUCUGCGGCGGUCCUGGCCCCACUGCCCUUCCUCAGCCCUGCAGCCACAGAGGCCGCGCUGCUCCUGAGGAGGCUCUGUUCCACCCUGGCUCCAACGCCUCCACAUUUUAAGUCCAGGAAGGUCGACCAGCGCCCAAAGCCGACCUCGGAGAGUGAGGAGGACUCCCGGGAGCUGAUGUUCAGAGCCUCGAAGUAGGGGUAAGCGAGGCUCCGGAAGGCCCGGGAGGUCAGGUUACGCACCUCUUUGUCGGCAUCAUCCAGCUCGCUCACGGCACUGGAGGCUCCGCUGGAGUAGUCCACCAGCUCCUUCGCCCGGAUGGCCCCACACCGGGUUUGCAGGCGAGCAGGGACAGCGAUGAAUUUCUUUGCAUGGUCCUGAGCCACGGCUGCAGCCGGGUCUUGCUUCAGUGAACUUGAAUUGUGUUCAGCAGCUGUAGAGACGCGGAGGCUCAUGUCGCCUUCAUGCUUGGCAGCAUAAAUAAUGUUUUGCUUUGCACACACGUUGCUAGGCUCAUUUAUAGCCCGGGAAGUCGGUUUGAUUGAUAGGAGGAUCUGGCUUGCUGCACUCCCACAGCUGCUUGCGGCGGCUGCUGCCCCUGAAGCUGCCUCCGGGGGCUCCGGCAAGGGCUCACUCGGGGUGGCAGUGCCAGGCCCCGUGGGUGGGGGAGUGGGGUCACUGUCCGAGGGGCCGCUGCCCACUUCCGUGCUGCUGGUGUCGCCACCGCUGCUGCCCGCGCCGGGGCGGGCGGGGUCACUGCUGGUGGGGCUGGGUGUCCUGGUGGCGUUGGUGCUGGGAGUGGUGCUGAGGUAGCAGCUGUUGUCAUCGUCCUCUUCGGUCGGAGUGGUGACAUCCCCCGGGGUCUCGUCGCUGCCGCCAAAGGAAGCAUAGUCCACGAAUGAGUAGAUCACGUUGUUGUCCUCGAAAUCCCAGCGGGAGGCCAGGCCCACGUCGAAAUCCAUGUCCUGCUCUACCUCGCUCAGCUGGAUCUCGUGGGUG